GCCAGGAAGGAGGAGGCAGCCAGAGUGGCCACCCCUGUUCCCUGCAGCAGAGGACCCCCUGCUGCCCCCAACCCAGCCCAGCCUUGGCCAGGACAGGAUAUCAGGGAUAGCAAGAAUGAAAGGAUCUGAGAAGUCCCAAGUUCAUGGAAGAUGACACCUGCCACAUGAAGGCGCACUGUCUUGUGAUAAAACACAUUGCGGCACAACCAAUGCUGGCAAUCAGCCAUAUAUUUAAAAAACCAAACUUCUUCACUAAGUAAACAUUGCCCUUGGCCGAAUGGAAUAAAACACCAUCCUACAAACUGGAUGGCCUGUAGAUUUCGAAGCCAACUCCUGGAAGAGGAAUGAUCUCACUCUGCGUGUUUAACGUCCAUGCCACACAAAAUACUCCGACAGUCAAGGAAGGGAUGUGAUGGAUAAAGAAUGAACAGGGCAACUGGGAGCAGACUGGGUGGCCUCUUCUGCUACCGGACACAACAAGAAGGCACUAAAGCUGGAAAGGCUGCUGCACAAAUGUCAACAUUCGGUCUCUGCUUCUCCCCACCUCCUCCCCCGUGGGCACCCCCCCCCCCGGGCUGCACCGGCACUGUGAAAAUGCAUUGACGAGAAGAUGCGGUUUUAAUGGGAAGCAAUCUGAUGCGCUCACGUGAGCCCGUACUCCAAGGACCUGUGUUCAUGUUCUGUGUCUGCCACUGCCCUGUUGAAUGACCUUGAGACUGUCCUUUACACUCAAUUGAUCUCCAAUUGUUCUUCCAACACUGUCAGUCAGACACUCCGGUAUUCAGAAGAUGUACUCCAGGGCCGGCACAGUGGAAGAGCUGGGAUUUAAUUCCGGAGGUAACAUUUCCCUCGGUCCACAAUAAGAAUGAGCUAGAAUAAGGCAGAGGCAGCAGAAGAGACAAUGAAUUGCAAACUUCUGGAGUCU
Hemicordylus capensis (graceful crag lizard) is the source of this 925-nucleotide long non-coding RNA. RefSeq lists it as uncharacterized. The record is from RefSeq and is a predicted model, not a curated record. NCBI's taxonomy places the organism in Eukaryota, Metazoa, Chordata, Lepidosauria, Squamata, Cordylidae. The transcript is spliced from 5 exons.